AAAAAAACAAACUCUGGGUUUUCAUGUCCAACUUUGACUGUCCGUCUUAUAUGAAAAUUUUUUAUAAUUCAUAUUUUCAUUGUUGUUAGAUGAUAAAACAUAAUUAAUAUUUUAUGCGUGACUUGUCUUUUUAAUUUUUUUUAUAAUUUUUUCAAAUAAGACGGACGAUCGAACGUUGGACACGGAAAUCAAGGUUUGUCUUUUUU
RNAcentral lists this microRNA precursor (206 nucleotides) under Oryza sativa Japonica Group (Japanese rice). RNAcentral's name for it is "MIR812 microRNA precursor family". It matches the Rfam family "MIR812 microRNA precursor family". The record is from Rfam by way of RNAcentral. Lineage: Eukaryota; Viridiplantae; Streptophyta; Magnoliopsida; Poales; Poaceae.